Molecule: ribosomal RNA, 226 nt
Filed under: uncultured bacterium
Lineage: Bacteria
Description: partial 16S ribosomal RNA
Rfam family: Bacterial small subunit ribosomal RNA
Source: RNAcentral
AGCAACACGUAUCCAACCUGCCGUCUACUCUUGGCCAGCCUUCUGAAGGAAGAUUAAUCCAGGAUGGGAUCAUGAGUUCACAUGUCCGCAUGAUUAAAGGUAUUUUCCGGUAGACGAUGGGGAUGCGUUCCAUUAGAUAGUAGGCGGGGUAACGGCCCACCUAGUCAACGAUGGAUAGGGGUUCUGAGAGGAAGGUCCCCCACAUUGGAACUGAGACACGGUCCAA